UACGUAGGGUGCGAGCGUUAAUCGGAAUUACUGGGCGUAAAGCGUGCGCAGGCGGUUCUGAAAGUCAGCUGUGAAAGCCCCGGGCUUAACCUGGGAAUUGCGGUUGAAACUACAGGGCUAGAAUCUGGCAGAGGGGGGUGGAAUUCCACGUGUAGCAGUGAAAUGCGUAGAGAUGUGGAGGAACACCGAUGGCGAAGGCGGCGACCUGGGUCGAGACUGACGCUGAGGCGCGAAAGCGUGGGGAGCAAACAGG
Molecule: ribosomal RNA, 253 nt
Filed under: uncultured bacterium
Lineage: Bacteria
Description: partial 16S ribosomal RNA
Rfam family: Bacterial small subunit ribosomal RNA
Source: RNAcentral